AGAGUUUGAUCCUGGCUCAGAUUGAACGCUGGCGGCAUGCCUUACACAUGCAAGUCGAACGGCAGCACGGGGGCAACCCUGGUGGCGAGUGGCGAACGGGUGAGUAAUAUAUCGGAACGUGCCCUGGAGUGGGGGAUAACUAGUCGAAAGAUUAGCUAAUACCGCAUACGAUCUACGGAUGAAAGUGGGGGACCCGCAAGGGCCUCAUGCUCCUGGAGCGGCCGAUAUCUGAUUAGCUAGUUGGUGAGGUAAAGGCUCACCAAGGCAUCGAUCAGUAGCUGGUCUGAGAGGACGACCAGCCACACUGGGACUGAGACACGGCCCAGACUCCUACGGGAGGCAGCAGUGGGGAAUUUUGGACAAUGGGCGCAAGCCUGAUCCAGCAAUGCCGCGUGAGUGAAGAAGGCCUUUCGGGUUGUAAGCUCUUUUUGUCAGGGAAGAAACGGUGAGGGCGAAUACCCCUUUUG
This 467-nucleotide ribosomal RNA is filed under the name uncultured Glaciimonas sp. RNAcentral's name for it is "bacterial SSU rRNA". It matches the Rfam family "Bacterial small subunit ribosomal RNA", at positions 8 to 474 of the family's 1533-position model. Lineage: Bacteria; Pseudomonadati; Pseudomonadota; Betaproteobacteria; Burkholderiales; Oxalobacteraceae. The record is from RNAcentral.